RNAcentral lists this long non-coding RNA (364 nucleotides) under Triticum aestivum (bread wheat). RNAcentral's name for it is "long non-coding RNA (TAES_LNC023929)". Lineage: Eukaryota; Viridiplantae; Streptophyta; Magnoliopsida; Poales; Poaceae. The record is from RNAcentral.
UUCAGGUCUCUACCUUGGUGUUGCCAUGCUACUCCUGCAUUCCAAUAUAACAUCCAGCUAAUAAAAACUCACUGCUCUCUGUACAAUAGAGCAGUAACCGGGGAAAGAAGAAAAACUGGAACUUCACUUACCCACUGAAGUGUGUAAAGCCCAGCUCUGAAUUUUUAGUUGCACCGCUCAAUCGCUCAUCAUCAUCCAUCUCAGAGAAUAAGAGCAUGCCCUUAAGCAAUAAAUCAUCUGAUCCGUUUUGAUAUGGAGGUAAGAAGAUUGACAUGGCACCUCCAAAUCAUCUAAAUCGUAAACUUUCGGUCUCUGCUUUCACUCUGUCUGAGUACCUGCAUUGUGUGAGCAGAUCAUUCAAUAA